CCAGAUUGAAAAUUUCUUCUUUUCUUCUCCUGCCCCCUCUACCAUUGCUUUGUUGCUUAGAUUUUGCUAUUAGGAAUUUAGGGUUUAAAUGGGAACUGAAAAGAAAGGGGUUUUAGCUAUCUACACGGUUGAGGAGAAACGCUUAUGUUUAGGGAUUUUGUUCUUUUUUGACAAAGAGAAAGCACAAAAGGAAUUUCAAAAACCUUAUCUGCUUUAGUAGCGAAGCUCCUUUAAUUUGGAGAUUUUAGGCGGAGAAAUU
RNAcentral lists this long non-coding RNA (259 nucleotides) under Gossypium raimondii (Peruvian cotton). RNAcentral's name for it is "long non-coding RNA (GRAI_LNC010864)". The record is from RNAcentral. Lineage: Eukaryota; Viridiplantae; Streptophyta; Magnoliopsida; Malvales; Malvaceae.